RNAcentral lists this ribosomal RNA (461 nucleotides) under uncultured bacterium. RNAcentral describes it as "partial 16S ribosomal RNA". It matches the Rfam family "Bacterial small subunit ribosomal RNA", at positions 338 to 795 of the family's 1533-position model. The record is from RNAcentral.
CCUACGGGAGGCAGCAGUGAGGAAUAUUGGUCAAUGGGCGCGAGCCUGAACCAGCCAAGUAGCGUGAAGGAUGACUGCCCUACGGGUUGUAAACUUCUUUUAUAAAGGAAUAAAAAGCGUCACGUGUACCUUUUUGUAUGUACUUUAUGAAUAAGGAUCGGCUAACUCCGUGCCAGCAGCCGCGGUAAUACGGAGGAUCCGAGCGUUAUCCGGAUUUAUUGGGUUUAAAGGGUGCGUAGGCUGGGAGUUAAGUUAGCGGUGAAAUGCCUCCGCUCAACGGGGCGAAGUGCCAUUUAUACUGGCUUGCUGGAGUGCGGACGCCGUAGGAGGAAUGAGUGGAGUAGCGGUGAAAUGCAUAGAUAUCACACAGAACACCGAUUGCGAAGGCAGCUCACGAAUCCGCGAUUGACGCUGAUGCACGAAAGCGUGGGUAUCAAACAGGAUUAGAUACCCUAGUAGUC